This 377-nucleotide ribosomal RNA is filed under the name uncultured bacterium. RNAcentral's name for it is "bacterial SSU rRNA". It matches the Rfam family "Bacterial small subunit ribosomal RNA", at positions 521 to 896 of the family's 1533-position model. The record is from RNAcentral.
UAAUACAGAGGGCGCGAGCGUUGUCCGGAAUCACUGGGCGUAAAGGGCGCGUAGGUGGCAACACAAGCGUGCGGUGAAAGCCCGGGGCUCAACCCCGGGUCGGCCGUGCGAACUGUGUGGCUCGAGCAUGGUAGAGGCGGGUGGAAUUCCGGGUGUAGCGGUGGAAUGCGUAGAGAUCCGGAAGAACACCGGUGGCGAAGGCGGCCCGCUGGGCCAUGGCUGACACUGAGGCGCGACAGCGUGGGGAGCAAACAGGAUUAGAUACCCUGGUAGUCCACGCCGUAAACGAUGGGCACUAGGUGCUUGGGGGAGCGACCCCCUGGGUGCCGGCGCUAACGCAUGAAGUGCCCCGCCUGGGGAGUACGGCCGCAAGGCUG